AUUGCUAAGGAGGCUCGUGUCCAGUGCCAAAGACUGCAAUACCAGCAUCUCUGAAAUCGAAAGAUUAAAUUUAACCAUCUCACUGUCUUGAAGAGAGCCUUUGCAGCACAAGAUGUUUUUGAAGUGCACUUCUAAGUUACAUCCGGAAAUACAGGAGAUUUCGAUAGAGAAGAGCAAUUUUCAAAAUGGCACCUUGCCUUGGGCACGACUACCAGAAUUGCACUCUGGAAAACCCUGAAGCUCCGAGAAUCUAAGCCAGCCUUUGCGCCAUCAAACACACCUGCCAGUCUCAGGAGCCUCUGCCCGCCCCUGGGGCCCUGUGUCCCCAACCCUAGAGUGUUUCGGGGACUCCCACCUGCCGCAGCUCCACCGGCGCUCAGUGUGAUGGUAACAGAAGGCUCCCUGGGCUAGUGUGCUACAAUGAGUGCAGGGGAAGCCGAGAGGAGCCUAGAGGAGCCAAAGGCAGCUCUCCAGCAUGUCAUGUCGAACUUGCCGUGCCGCUGGCUUUCCUGCUCACUGUGUCCAUCCGAUGGACUCUGAGAGCCAAGAGGAACUUUAAGGGGGAUCUCACUCAACCAAGUUCCCUCCCCGUGGCUUGAAUUCGCCUCUACAACAUCCCCUCCAAGUGGUUGCUCAGUUUAUGCACAGCAAGGGCAGGAAAAAGCCAGCAGAGAAGCUUCCAGCAUACACAGGGGGCAAGGCCAAACACGGGGCAAAUGAAACACCAGGAAAGGAUGCUUGAGUUCUAGGCUGUAACUGUGGCAUUUACAGCCGGGACUCGAUUGUCUGAACUGGAAAGGUGACAUGAACAAUGGAGAUUCACAGACAGACCGUCCAGUUAAGUUGCUAAAUCCCACUUUAGCAAACAGAUUCAAUCGAAAGCACGUAUUCAAACAAAUAUUCAUCUUCUUGUUCAUAGCAACACCAAUCCAAUAGCCCAAAGAUGGAAAGAGCCAAAUGCCCAUGGAUGAAUGAAUGGCUAGAUGACAGGUAGUGUCGUCAUCCGAUGGGACAGUAUUCCGCCAUAAAAAGGAACGAAGUCUGUGCACGCUACAACAUGGGUGAACCUGGAGAGAUGCUGAGUGAAAGAAGCCAGUCACAGGAACUGCUAAUGCUAGCGAGCUUCCUUGCUGUUAUGGACUGAACGUUUGCCUGAAGGAAGGCGGCUGCCCAUAAGUCAAGCAAGAAACAGGUUCUCAUCAGGAACCAAAUGCACCUGUGCCUUGAUCUUGGACUUCCCAGCCUCCGGAAUGAGGAAGAAACCCAGCCCACAGAGGAUAAGUGACCUGCCCAAGGAUGAUUCUUGGUACUGGAGGUGUUCCCGAGGCUAAGAGCACAAGCGAGGUCCCGUUCAGGAAGGCUCUACCCUCCUGACCUAGUCACCUCUCCAAGGCCUGCCUCCUGCUAUCCCCGCCGUGGGGGAUAUGCUGGCAACAGGUGAAUUUGGAGAAGAUCCGAAUAUUGAGACCAGAGCCCCCAGUACUGAUGGGAUUACGUGUAGCCUUGGGGGCGGUGAAUUCCACGCCCAAACCCACAUGAGUCUGCGGCACCGAAGGACCCCGUGUCAGCGCCAACCCCACUUACAAGGCACUUGGAUUGGAGGUUGCCCUUCCAACCAGUGCCCCUACUGCGGUGUUUAUGGCUCCCAAGGGCCUUCAACCAGGCCAGCAUUUAGUAGGUGCUGCGAAUCAUCCAGAAUGGAGGGGACUUCACUGGUCUUGCUGGGGGGCGUGGGCUGAGCACUUGGGGGUGGGGGAUCCAUGGCUAGGAAUAACCACACAGGUCAUCCGGAGUGCUUGCCGGAGCUGGGCACUGUCCCAUGGGCUUUUUAAUUCCCUGAGUGACGGGACUGGGUGUAGUGGACACCCCAUCUUACAGAAGAGAAACUCCGAGAUGUUCCAUGACCCCGGUCACUCGCUAGUCCCAUGGACUGUUUGAUGCGAUCAUUUCAGUUUUCUCUUUCAGCAUUUUAUUUGCAUUUUCCUCCCUCAAACAGGGGCAGCAAGGACGAAGGAAUCCGGUUUUCUGGUUUUUGUUUUGCUUUGAUGGGAAACACGCUUUGUCGUGCUGUCUAUUUCUGUUGCUUUGUUGGAGCCUUUCCAUCACCCCACGUCUUGGUCUUAGGAUGCUUAUUUUAUUUUAUUUUUUUAUUUAAUAAUUAUUGUUUUGGAUUUUAUUUACUUGUCAGAGAGAGAGAGUGCGCAGGCAAGCCCGGGGAGCAGCAGGGUAUCUCGCUGAGCAGAGAGCCUGAUGCGGGGCUCGAUCCCAAGACCCUGAGAUCACCGCCAGAACCAAGGCAGACGCUUCACCGACUGGGCCAUCCAGGCGUCCCAGGAUGCUUGUUUUACAGAUGGGAAGACUGAGGCCGUGGCCAUCACUAUGGGCAAGUGCCUGAACUGGGAUGGCAUCCAGCUCCCCUCUGGUCUGGCCCCGAAGCCUCUCUUCUCUGCUGCGGGAAAGGCCCUUGGUUAGCAGGCUUUCAGAUGCAAAUCAAACAAUCAGGCCCUUUCUGCCCCCUUCUGACAGACAAAACCGAAAAGGGUGAGUGCUGAGGUUGGGCAGAAGGCAGGGCAAGGAGAGUGAGAGUGGCGCUCGCUUGCCCUUGCUGGAAGUGUAAACCGGUCAAGAUUUUUCAGGGGUACCAGCCACUCUCAAAAUCAAAACAGCAUUUCCAGUUUGAUCCAGCAGUUCCACUGUUAGAAAUGUUUUCUAGGGCCGUAUUCGGACAGAUACACCAAGAUUUGUCUUAUAUUCGUACACACCCAGAUAUCUUUUCCCCAUGACUUCCCAGUAGCUUUUCCCUAUAGCUUUCCCCACAGCUUCCCCAUAGUUAGCUCCAUUGUAGGUAACAGGAAACACUAGAAUUAACCUAAGUGUAUGUUAAUUAGAUGAGUUAAAUACACGACAGAAAUUUAUGCAGCCCUUACAAAAUGACUGAGGGGCGCCUGGGUGGCUCAGUUGGUUGAGCAUCUGACUCUUGGUUUUGGCUGAGGUCGUGAUCUUGGG
Molecule: long non-coding RNA, 3006 nt
Organism: Mustela erminea (ermine)
Lineage: Eukaryota; Metazoa; Chordata; Mammalia; Carnivora; Mustelidae
Exons: 6
Source: RefSeq, a predicted model, not a curated record